Triticum aestivum (bread wheat) is the source of this 734-nucleotide long non-coding RNA. RefSeq lists it as uncharacterized. The transcript is spliced from 3 exons. NCBI's taxonomy places the organism in Eukaryota, Viridiplantae, Streptophyta, Magnoliopsida, Poales, Poaceae. The record is from RefSeq and is a predicted model, not a curated record.
CCGGCGCAUGCGCUCGUCGCUGGCUCGGCUGCGUACCGCCACCAACCAUAGCUUUAGCGGAUGGAAGAUGUAUGCCGCAGCGUCUCUCCCGAUCUCUUUUUCCGAAUGGAUUUGAGGGACCCUUCAGCCCUUCACAGGAACUUUUUCUUGGAUCUGAUACAGAAGAGAUUGAGAAUUGGGGACUAUUCAUUAGAGGGAUUAGAGUUGGUAUCAUGAUCUUCUGGAAGUAUGCGGUAUGAGAGAGAUAAUGGUAUAUUCAGUAGAGCUGAUAUCCAUUGCCAAAUGAAAAAGAACUGAUCUUCCUGCGUGCACAACGGACGGAAACAGGGGAUGCAACGUCGAGCUUCCGGUCGUUCUCCGGCGCGAUGCUGCUGGCCAUUCGUUGCUAGAGGAGACAUGUAAAGGAUUCCGCACGUGCGCGCGCUCAGCUGGAUGUUUUUUUAGAUUAUUUUCAUCCGUAAUUUAUGUUUACAAGUUUUGGUGUUCUUGGUCAUUUUCCAUGCCCGCCAUGGAAAUCUGUUCUUCUUUUUCUGUUGUUUUACUUUCGAAUUGGUGUUGCAGGGAUAGAUAUAAGGACUGUAUGAAAAGAUUUGCGUUGUCAAUUUUGCUUUUUUGAGUUGUUUCUACCGCGGAUUCCCAUGUUAUUUUGUCGUUGGCGGAAGUUGUGUAUGGCGGCUGACUGUAAGCUGCGAUUUCUUGUAAUCCGGUCAAACUGUGUAAUUAAGUUACAUGUU